Molecule: ribosomal RNA, 243 nt
Filed under: uncultured bacterium
Lineage: Bacteria
Description: partial 16S ribosomal RNA
Rfam family: Bacterial small subunit ribosomal RNA
Source: RNAcentral
GUGGCGCACGGGUGAGUAAUGCGUAGGAACGUACCUUUAGGAGGGGGAUAACCACGGGAAACUGUGGCUAAUACCGCAUAAUCAGGAAACUGUAAAAGUGGCCUCUACUUGUAAGCUACUGCCUAAAGAUCGGCCUAUGUCCCAUUAGCUAGUUGGGGGGGUAAUGGCCCACCAAGGCUACGAUGGGUAGCUGGUCUGAGAGGAUGAUCAGCCACACUGGAACUGAGACACGGUCCAGACUCC